This 920-nucleotide ribosomal RNA is filed under the name uncultured bacterium. Its description in RNAcentral is "bacterial SSU rRNA". It matches the Rfam family "Bacterial small subunit ribosomal RNA", at positions 8 to 913 of the family's 1533-position model. The record is from RNAcentral.
AGAGUUUGAUCCUGGCUCAGGACGAACGCUGGCGGCGUGCCUAAUACAUGCAAGUAGAACGCUGAAGGAAGGAGCUUGCUCUUUCCGGAUGAGUUGCGAACGGGUGAGUAACGCGUAAGUAACCUGCCUGGUAGCGGGGGAUAACUAUUGGAAACGAUAGCUAAUACCGCAUAAGAGUAGAUGUCGCAUGACAUUUGCUUAAAAGGUGCAAUUGCGCCACUACCAGAUGGACCUGCGUUGUAUUAGCUAGUUGGUGGGGUAACGGCUCACCAAGGCGACGAUACAUAGCCGACCUGAGAAGGUGAUCGGCCGCUCUGGCACUGAGACACGGACCAAACUCCUACAGGAGGCAGCAAUAGGGAAUCUUCGGCAAUGGACGGAAGUCUGACCGACCAACGCCGCGUGAGUGAAGAAGGUUUUCGGAUCGUAAAGCUCUGUUGUAAGAGAAGAACAAGUGAGAGAGUGGAAAGUUCACACUGUGACGGUGUCUUACCAGAAAGGGACGGCUAACUACGUGCCAGCAGCCGCGGUAAUACGUAGGUCCCGAGCGUUGUCCGGAUUUAUUGAGCGUAAAGCGAGCGCACGCGGUUAGAUAAGUCUGAAGUUAAAGGCUGUGGCUUAGCCAUAGUACGCUUUGGAAACUGUUUAACUUGAGUGCUAGAGGGGAGAGUGGAAUUCCGUGUGUAGCGGUGAAAUGCGUAGAUAUAUGGAGGAACACCGGUGGCGAAAGCGGCUCUCUGGCUUGUUACUGACGCUGAGGCUCGAAAGCGCGAGGAGCAGACAAGAUUAGAUACCCUGAUACUCUGCGCCGUAACGAUGAGUGCUAGGUGUUAGACCCUUUCCGGGUUUAGUGCCGUAGCUAACGCAUUAAGCACUCAGCCUGGCGACUACGACCGCAGGUUGAAACUCAAAGGCUCUGA